UGGGCGACCUGCCCUCAGCUCUGGGAUAAGCCUGGGAAACUGGGUCUAAUACCGGAUAUUCACUACUCAUCGCAUGGUGGGUGGUGGAAAGUUUUUCGGCUGGGGAUGGGCCCGCGGCCCAUCAGCUUGUUGGUGGGGUGAUGGCCUACCAAGGCGACGACGGGUAGCCGGCCUGAGAGGGCGACCGGCCACACUGGGACUGAGACACGGCCCAGACUCCUACGGGAG
RNAcentral lists this ribosomal RNA (228 nucleotides) under uncultured bacterium. Its description in RNAcentral is "partial 16S ribosomal RNA". It matches the Rfam family "Bacterial small subunit ribosomal RNA", at positions 118 to 347 of the family's 1533-position model. The record is from RNAcentral.